GCAGAAAAAAUAAUUUCACGUCAUUUGACAAAAGUUCUGAGGAGAUGAGGUCGAGAUAUAUAUACUACAUGAAAACGCGGUUGUGGAGGCUGUUUCACCUACCAUUUUCAAAAUUUUCAGUUUUGUGUAUAUAUUAGAAUGGUAAUUUAUUCUGGAAUUACUUUAUUUUUAACCGGCUUAACUUUUUUAAUUUCUGUUUCGAUCAAAAAAUUUUAAAAUUUAAAUUUAGAAUAUAGAAAAAAAUAAAAUAAAAUAAAUUGAGGUGAUUAAUACUUGCCUUAAAUUACCAACUAUUAAAAGGAAAAGAAAUAAAAGUAUAUUGU
This 323-nucleotide long non-coding RNA is filed under the name Ananas comosus (pineapple). Its description in RNAcentral is "long non-coding RNA (ACOM_LNC012448)". The record is from RNAcentral. Lineage: Eukaryota; Viridiplantae; Streptophyta; Magnoliopsida; Poales; Bromeliaceae.